Molecule: ribosomal RNA, 502 nt
Filed under: uncultured Glomeromycotina
Lineage: Eukaryota; Fungi; Glomeromycota
Description: partial small subunit ribosomal RNA
Rfam family: Eukaryotic small subunit ribosomal RNA
Source: RNAcentral
CCAAUAGCGUAUAUUAAAGUUGUUGCAGUUAAAAAGCUCGUAGUUGAACUUCGGGGUUUACCCAUUGGUCAGGCUUAAUUGUCUGUACUGGUGAGAUGAAUCUCUACCUUCUGAGGAACUUUCAUGCCAUUUAUUUGGUGUGAUUGGAAAUCAGGACUGUUACUUUGAAAAAAUUAGAGUGUUUAAAGCAGGCUAACGUCUGAAUACAUUAGCAUGGAAUAAUGAAAUAGGACGGACUGAUUCUAUUUCGUUGGUUUCUAGGAUCACCGUAAUGAUUAAUAGGGAUAGUUGGGGGCAUUAGUAUUAAAUUGUCAGAGGUGAAAUUCUUGGAUUUAUUGAAGACUAACUACUGCGAAAGCAUUUGCCAAGGAUGUUUUCAUUAAUCAAGAACGAAAGUUAGGGGAUCGAAGACGAUCAGAUACCGUCGUAGUCUUAACCAUAAACUAUGCCGACUAGGGAUCGGACGAAGUUAAUUUUAUAAUGACGCGUUCGGCACCUUACG